UUGUUGUAAUCUUUCAAGAUUAUUGGAUUAAGUCCUUUUUGAAGGAGAAAUCACCUUGGUAGGGUGGACUAGAGUAACUUUGAAUUCCAAGCGAACCAGGAUAACUUCUGUGUUGUUUGUCUUUAAGUUAUGUGUAUAGAAACUCCAAAAGUUUUUAUUGUUUGUGAAAACAAUUCAAACCCCCCUUUCUUGUUUUUCUCUACCUUCAAUUGGUAUCAGAGCUUCAGCUCUGUUAUUGAUUUUC
This 244-nucleotide long non-coding RNA is filed under the name Lathyrus oleraceus (garden pea). RNAcentral describes it as "Pisum sativum (pea) long non-coding RNA (PSAT_LNC006613)". Lineage: Eukaryota; Viridiplantae; Streptophyta; Magnoliopsida; Fabales; Fabaceae. The record is from RNAcentral.